This 461-nucleotide ribosomal RNA is filed under the name Omalus aeneus aeneus. RNAcentral's name for it is "partial 16S ribosomal RNA". The record is from RNAcentral. Lineage: Eukaryota; Metazoa; Arthropoda; Insecta; Hymenoptera; Chrysididae.
GUCUACUCUGCUCAAUGAUAAAAAAUUAAAUAGCCGCGGUAUUUUGACUGUGCAAAGGUAGCAAAAUCAAUAGUUUUUUAAUUGAAGACUGGAAUGAAGGAGGAGAUGAAAUUUUAACUGUCUUUAAAAUAUUAAUUGAAUUUAAUUUUAAGUAAAAAUUCUUAAAUAAUUUUAGGGGACGAGAAGACCCUUUAGAAUUUUAUAAUAAUUUUAUUAAUUAAUAAUUUAAUUAAAGUUAUAAUUAAUAAAAUUAUUAUUUAGUUGGGAGGAUUAUUAAAUUUAAAAAACUUUAAAAUGAAAAAUUAUUCUAAUUAGAAGUUUUAUGAGUUAUAUUUAAAUAAUUUAAGAAAAAUUACCUAAGGGAUAACAGCGUAAUAUUUUUGGAGAGAUCUUAUUAAUAAAAAUGAUUGCGACCUCGAUGUUGAAUUAAAAUAAAAUUUGAAUGGAGAAGUUCAAUAUUU